RNAcentral lists this ribosomal RNA (484 nucleotides) under uncultured bacterium. RNAcentral's name for it is "partial 16S ribosomal RNA". It matches the Rfam family "Bacterial small subunit ribosomal RNA", at positions 30 to 507 of the family's 1533-position model. The record is from RNAcentral.
AUUGAACGCUGGCGGCAGGCCUAACACAUGCAAGUCGAGCGGAUGAAGGGAGCUUGCUCCUGGAUUCAGCGGCGGAAGGGUGUGUAAUGCCUAGGAAUAUGCCUGGUUGUGGGGGAUAACGUCCGGAAGCGGGCGCUAAUACCGCAGACGUCCUGAGGGAGAAGGAGGGGGAGCUUCGGACCUCACGCUAUCAGAUGAGCCUAGGUCGGACUAGCUAGUUGGUGGGGUUAGGGCCUACCAAGGCGACGAUCCGUAGCUGGUCUGAGUGGAUGAUCAGUCACACUGGAACUUGGACAGGGACCUUGCUACUACGAGACGCAGCAGUCUGCAAUGUUAGACAGCGGUCGGAAGUCUGACCCAGCCAGGCCGCGUGUGUUAAGACGGCGUUCCGAGCGGAAUGCACGUCAUGUUGUGGUAAACGGCAUUAAGCUAAUACCUUGCUGUAUUGACGGUAACAGCUGAAGAAGCACCGGCUAACUACGUG